AGGGAAGAAGAAGCCGAAGGGAUGGAGCUGGUGCUGUUUGUUCCCUCCGUGGGCAGGAGGCUCCUGCGCUUCCCCGGGGUCGGGUCUCUCCUGCUGGGGUGUCCCUGCUGCUGGGGGUGGCUGUGGGGUGACGGAGCAGGAAGGCAGGCGUGGGCUCUGCUCGGCUGCGGCACAGCCGCUCUCUCUUGCAGGCCUUUAGUCAGAGCAGGAGGUGCCACCCCCACCAGGCUCUCGGUAAAUCCGUGCGCAGCCAAAGCAGUGCCCCUGCCCUUGGUACCUAAGGUGGAGGGAUCUGGGAGAUGGGCAGCACAGCUCAGGCAACUUGGACCCAUCUGGUGGAGGUCAUUUACUGUGAGAGGCCUAUGGACACUAAAGAGAGCUUAACUCAGAAGAGCCAGUGGCUACAAGGAAGCUCCUGUUGAGCCUCUCGGCAGCAUGCCCUGCGCAGAUGGAACCAUGGGGAAAUUGAGAUGAUAAAUCUGUUUCUGUUGAGCAUGCACAAGGCUGUGUCCUCCAAGUCCUGGAAAGGCCCAGACUCUUAAGAGAUUUCUUGGGAUGUAAAAAAAGCUUAUUCAAAAGCUUUCAGAAUCUCAAGUCUCUGCUUGAACAUCUAGAACCCAUAGAAGAAAGCUAGCCACUUGGGGGGGGUUUAAUGUACUCCAAACAUAAUACAGGUAUUUGAAAUAGAUUAAUGUUUUUCAUCUGUAAUUAUUAAUAAAAAGACCCUCAUCUUGAGUUGGUGUAUGCUGUAAAACUUUUUAGUUGAAAUGGUUCAAGAUUAGGGCAAACUUACAAGAAAAUAAAACAAGGUUCUUGUAAUGAGA
Corvus hawaiiensis (hawaiian crow) is the source of this 824-nucleotide long non-coding RNA. RefSeq lists it as uncharacterized. Lineage: Eukaryota; Metazoa; Chordata; Aves; Passeriformes; Corvidae. The transcript is spliced from 2 exons. The record is from RefSeq and is a predicted model, not a curated record.